CUCAGCCAUACUCUAACGAGUGUUGCUGAGCCACACGCCAAUUUAUUAGCGCAUCAUUUAGAUUUAUUUUAAGCCAUAAAAUACAAUCGCAACAUUAAGUAAGGUUAAUUUUUCCUUACGAGAAAAAAUUAAUUGCAAUAAAAAAUAUUUACAACGAAAUAUGAAGCGACAGUGGAAGGUUCAGAAAUGAACUUUUUGAAAUGAUAAACUGGCUAUAUCUU
This 221-nucleotide non-coding RNA is filed under the name unclassified sequences. Its description in RNAcentral is "RT-16 RNA". It matches the Rfam family "RT-16 RNA". From Rfam's summary of the family: candidate division DUSEL4 (Archaea). The record is from Rfam by way of RNAcentral.